UCCCCUGAAGGGCCGUGGUAGACCACCACGUUGAUAGGCUCCAUGUGUAAGCGCGGUAACGCGUUGAGCUAAGGAGUACUAAUUGCCCGUGUGGCUUGACCAU
Molecule: ribosomal RNA, 103 nt
Filed under: Gammaproteobacteria bacterium
Lineage: Bacteria; Pseudomonadati; Pseudomonadota; Gammaproteobacteria
Description: partial 23S ribosomal RNA
Rfam family: Bacterial large subunit ribosomal RNA
Source: RNAcentral